Siniperca chuatsi (mandarin fish) is the source of this 681-nucleotide long non-coding RNA. RefSeq lists it as uncharacterized. The transcript is spliced from 3 exons. The record is from RefSeq and is a predicted model, not a curated record. Lineage: Eukaryota; Metazoa; Chordata; Actinopteri; Centrarchiformes; Sinipercidae.
GUCCUUCUGGAUUGUCAGCAGCUUCCAGCUGCCAUAAACUUGUGAAAGAUCAGAUAGACCUGCAGAGAAGAAAGAAAGAAGUGAUGAAGACAGAACCUGGUAGAGACAGGACAGAGGGGAAACAAACGCAGAGAUAAAGAAUUGAAAGACUGCCACAUAGGGGUGGGAGGACAGGUAUGUUCUCCCCACACCAAGAGACCCUAAUUGUUGAUAUGGUCCGUGAGAACAAUGCCAUUAAACUGAGUGAAAUUCAGCAGAAGAUCAUUGAGGACCAUGUCAAUUUUGAGGGUAUCAACAGUGUCAGCCUCUCUACUGUUGAUCGUGUCCUCAAGCGCAACAGACUGCGCAUGAAACAGCUAUACAGAGUGCCCUUUGAUCGCAACUCAGAGUCAAAGAGCAAAGAUUCCAGUAUGUACAGAGGGUUUUUCAGCUGGAUGCAAUGGAAAGACCCCAUGAAUACAUCUACAUGGAUGAAGCUGGGUUUAAUCUCACCAAAAGGAGAAGGAGAGGCCGUAAUGUGAUUGGCCAUCGGGCUAUUGUUGGUGUUCCUGGGCAGCGUGGUGGCAAUGUCACAUUAUGUGCUGCCAUCAGCAAUCAUGGGGUUGUCCACCAUCAUGCCAACCUGGGGCCCUACAACACUCACCAGCUCCUCAUUUUCCUCAAUCACAUGCGAGAUGCUCU